Molecule: long non-coding RNA, 2170 nt
Organism: Lepus europaeus (European hare)
Lineage: Eukaryota; Metazoa; Chordata; Mammalia; Lagomorpha; Leporidae
Exons: 3
Source: RefSeq, a predicted model, not a curated record
UUCGCGAGCUCGCAGCCCGCGGCUGUUUGAGUUCGUGUUGUGUCGUCCCGCACUUGCUUGCGUGCAGCAGCGUUUCCCCCGCUGCACAGCACCGAGUGAGUCAUCUCCGCUCCGUGCGGAUACGUCACUUUUUUCCCCCGCGGUGGCUGCUACCUCCCGGCACCAGGGAGUGCCGAUUUGAGUCCUGGCUACUCUCUUCUGAUCCAGUUUUCUGCAAAUGGGCCCAAGAGGGAAGAACAGCAAUGGAGAGUUCCAGCCUCCCGGCUUCAGCGGGUCCAGCCUCAGCUGUUGUGGGCAUUUGAGGAGCGAACCAAUAGGGAGGCCUGAGAGAGCAUAACCAUGACCCAGAGUGUAGAGGGCCGGGACUUUGAAUUCUUCUUUCGGUGUUGGUGAUACAGCUAUGGAGGUGCACUCUGACUUCUAUCUUGUGAUCAACGCCCAGGUCUGUGAAGACAACUGACUUGGGUGAGGGGAUCUUUCAGUGGUCAUGAAAACAGUUAACCAACAGAUUCCCUGAAUAUUGUCGCAGCAUGUUGAUCCAUCUCUCCUUUCAGUGCCUUGCCAAACACCAAGAAAUAAUGUUGAAGAGAAUCUGCCUUAGCCCAAUUUAAAGAGCAUCAUGUUGGCCCCUUGGAGCUAUUUGACUCAAAAGCCCUAAAGACACACAGCCUGGUAGUCACAAAUAGCUUGAGAGAGUUCCAUCUCCUUUAAAAUCAGUUUUAGAUUUAAAAGGAAAGCAGCAAAAGUAAUACACGUGGAAUUUCACAACUAAAAAAUAUUAGUAUGUUUCAACCAAAUGUCUUUGCACCCUCUUCCUUCCUAGGUUUUAUUGUUUGUGUAUUCUCAAAACACACAAGGAUAAUUGUGAUUGCAAUAUGAAAUUUAUCUUGGGAGCUAUGGGCCAUUUGAUUUCCUGGCAGAUGAGAAAAGGGCUAGGAAUUGGACAGUUUUUCCACACUCAUAAUAGUAGUAGAUCACACUUUUGUAUUUCAUCUCCCUUCAUGAAGUGAAUGCUAUCUUCACAGUGAUGUUUAUUUUGUUUGGCUUGCAGAAAGAGUAUAUUUUAGCCUUAGGCAUGUAUUUAAAUCCUUAAAAUAGCAGAAAAUCACUUAGAACCCAGUUUGCAUUACAAGGAGGCUUGCUUAUUUGUGGUUUGUGGAUUUGCUAAAAACAGUUUUAUUAAGACAUAAUUUAUCUACCAUAAAGUUCACCCAUUUAAAGUAUAUAAUUCUGUGGGUUUUAAUAUACUUACCAGGCUAAACAUGUGGCUCCUUCUUUAAUAUUGUUUAGAAAGCACUCUGCUGUGACUUCUACAUGACUAAGCCCUAAUAUAAUUAUAUCUUUCAUUUAUUUGGACACCUUAUGGAGUAGUGAUUAAGAGUAUGGACUCUGGAACCAGCCAGCCUGGAAAAAAAUCCCAACUCCGCCAUGUGCCUUGAAAGAGUUACUACUAACCUUUCUGUGACUUGGUUUUCUUGUAUAUAAAAUGGGAAUAAUCAUAGAAUCUCCUAAUUGGGAGGGUUAAAUGAAUUAAAUGAUAUAAAGAGCUCAGAGCAGUACCUGGCUCAUUAUAAGGACUAUAUAAAUGUUUGCUUUUACCAACAUAUUUCUCUUUAAACUCAGGUAUGGAUUGAUCAUAAUUCUUAGUUCAUGACACAGUAAUUAAUGACUCAUCCAUGGCCUUUAAAUUUUAUAUUAUUUAUCAAUAACAUACUGAUUUCCAUGAACCCAGCAGUAAAAUAAAAAAUUCCCAGUAUUUAAAUCUACCUAAGUGAUCCUUUGUCCUAUCAACUGCCUGCCUUUAUAUAUGUUCUGAUCUAGUAUUUAGCAACCCUUGCUAUUUAAACAGAACUUUUUAAAAGUUUUAAAGGGGGGGUCUGGCAUUGUAGUGCAGUGGGUUUAGCUGCCGCCUGUGACACAGCAUUCCAUAUCAGAGUACCAUUUCCAGUCCAGCUCUGCUUCCAAUCCAGCUCACUACCGUGUGCCUGGGAAAGCAAUCGGGGGUGGCCAUUUGGAGAGUGAAUCAACAGAUGGAAGAUCUUUUCUUUCUCUCUCUCUCUCCUACUCUGUCUCUUUGCUUUUCAACUAAAUAAAUUGUAUGGGAUAAAAAUUUUAAUGCAAUCAUGAAGAGUUCAUCUAUAUAUAGCAUAUAUAAAUCUGUGCUUUCACA